GAUAACUAGUAGCUCAGGCUACAGUUGCGAAACGAAGUGGGGAUGCAAAUUAUCCCCUCAGGUGUACCUCGUUAUUAUAUUCAAAUAAAAGAAUUUAUAUCAUCACAUGGCAAAUGGUACGAGCUGACAGACAGCGGGACCGGGAGGAACAAGUUGACAUAUGGGAGAAAGGUGACUUCUUCCUAGCUCAACUGUUCGGUCUCCGACCGUACGAGCCCGAUCCGGAGCCGGAAGAUUGGAAUUAAGAUAUAUGAGAGUGACAACGCAGCGGCGGGAAAGAUGAUGAAACAUAAGAGAAAGAGAGAUGGUAGGUAUGUGCUAUAAGUGUUUGCAAGCCUUUGUUACCGAUGCAUUUUUGGAGAGAGAGAGGCGGGUGACGACAAAAAAUAAGGACCGGGAUCCUACGUUUAUGUAACAUCAAUAGCGCUGGGACCUUUCCCCCUCUUUCUCUGCGUUACGAGUAUCCCCCGCGCCUAUGAAUAUCCCCCGCGUCCCGCGUUUCCCUCUAGCCUUAUGGGUUAGAACCCGCCUUGCUUUACUACUAUGGAUAAUAUUAAUUCUAUCCUUCACCGAGGGGUAAAGGUUGUAUAUAACGGAACAGAAGGAGUGGAGACUGCUUCGUUACAUACAAUAAUAGUGAGAGAGCAUUCUUCAGUAAUAUGAUUUAGCAUAAACAGUAUAGAUUUCCAAGAUGUCAAAUCUAACUUAUUGUAUAUUUUCCGUAUAUUUAUUGUACGCAAUUCGUUAACACGUUGAAAAGAGAAAAAAAAACAUUCAUUAAAAAUCGUUUCGUUUAUUUGAAUAUAAAACCCUUCUUUUACAAAUAAUGACAUAACCUUCAAGAUAAAUUGAAUCAAUAACGCGAACUUUUUCGAGCAUAAACUCAUUAAUUUGGCAAUUUUCUGACUUUAUGAAAUUCCUGAGUGCCAUUGUCGAAAGGUCGUUCAUCUAUCAUCGUUAUUAUAUUAUCAACCCGAUUAAGUAAAAACGCUACUUUCUCGUAUUCGGUUAUGAAUUUUUUGCGACGGAUCUAAUCCUACUGGAUUUUCGAGGGAAUCAAUCCCGCUAAUAAUAGAUUGUUCCCCUAUCAACUAAUUUCAUCGGAAAUGUCAACUAUCUCGAACUCGUCAUCAGAGGCAUCCGAGUAUCUAUUACUAGAUGAGGGAGAAGAGGGAAUUCAAGGGGAAUCGAAAGUAAACCGAUGGUCUCAUGAUUCUUUUUCAAGGAUUUCAAGGGAUUGUUGGAAAUAGAAUUCCUCUCCAAGGUCUUAAAUAAUAUCGAUUUGAUUCAGCCGAAGCGAUUUGACUCGCGUCGGGAUCGAUUAAUAGCGUCACCAGUAGCUGAUAUUAGUGGUUCACGAAAAGAAGAAAAAAGGAAGAAGUUAUUGCAAUAUCAGCUGUAUCAAAUUCGUCGGAGGAUUCAGUCAAUGGUGGAGAACUUAAUCUCACAUCCUUACCUUCACCAGAUCUUUUUCGAAGUCGAUCAUCAUCUGUAUUUGAACUGUCCAUGAUUUUCCACGUCUUGUCAAGACAAGUCUUUUUCCAAAAUAGAAAGCACUGGAAGGACGCCACUGCAUAAGACAGGAUGUAGGAUCUUUUAAAUGACUACGUUUACACGGCUCAAUUUACGCCGAAGUUAUAACAUCGAUAUUAUAACUAUUGACGUUAAAUGCCAUGUAAAUUUUAAGAUGAAGUUAUUACUUCGAUGUAGUAACUCAAAGUAAUUUGAUGAAGAGACUUAGAAUUAUAAUCAUCGACAUAAAAAAGAUGUGUAAAUGCGCGUUAUAAUUUCAACGUAAAUCGAACAAUGUAAACGCAUAAAUUAAAAGAAUAAAGCCAAAAUAUGAAAAUGAAAAAGCGCAAAAGUUGGGAAACCGAAGAAACUCGAUAUUUUCUCAAAUUAAUGAGAGAACGGCAAGUAAUGAAAAAUUUAGACGGAAAAAGAAUUCGAGAAGAUGACAUUUUUAACAAUUUAGAAUCGUCUAUGAACGAAAAAGGUUACACUAAAACGUCAAAGCAAAUGCAAACUAGAUUUAGAACAUUGAGGCUUCAAUAUAACAAAAUCCGAAGACAAAUGAGAUAAAGUGGAUCUGGCAAUUACAUAUCCUCAUUUCCAUAUGCCGAAGAAAUGAGCCAAUUUUUGACUUUUUGUCCCGUUGCCAUACAGGAUGUAAACAGCAUAUUAUUACAAAAUCUCUCUGAGAGCAGUGACAAUAAUUCAAGCAAUAGGAUUUAUGAAGAUGCUCUAGAACCAUGACGGUGUAGUCCCAGGAUGUUCAUCGAUAUCGGACAAUAAUUCGACAACAGACUCUAUACAAAAAGAUUCGUUAAGCGAAUCGUAUACUGUAAAUGAAAGCAUAGUUAAUAAUUUUAUUCCUGCAAAAAGACGUCGAGUAAAGAGAUGAAAACAAGCUAUGCCCUUGAAAUAUGCAGACAAAUUAAAAGAAAAUUAUGAAGAAAUUCAAAACAAAAUUAUGAUAGAGAAUGGGCGCUUUGUUGAACAAUUAAUUAAAUCUGAACAACAAUUUGAACAAGAAAUAAUUAAUAACAUGCUUGAAAGCCAAAGAAGUAUGUUAAAAGAAACAACUAACCAAUUGUUAAAGGGUUUACAGAAUAUUUUCGCUCCUAAAGAACGCUCCCGUCUCAACUUUCUUUACAGUUUCAGUUCCUACAUUCAAUUUUGUCGCUUAAAAUAAUCUCUUUAUAAUCUUCCUAUUUCAUUAUUCUUCUCUAUUUUCACCACCUAAUCUUAAAUCGCAAGCUUUUUCUUCAAGUCCUUUUCCUAAAGUAUUAUUAAAUUUAAAAAAUCCAACUCCAAAGAAAACUACAGCCACAAGUAUUCAACAAACUAUCACUGUAAAGAAAUAUCCAUAAGCUGAAAAUCAAAAGUCUAUUUCCGCACAAUCAAUAUUGAACGUAACAUCACAAGAUUCGCAGAAUAAACAAUUUUCGAGUACUCAAGAUUCGUAACAAUUUUAAGAUAGU
Acromyrmex echinatior (Panamanian leafcutter ant) is the source of this 2984-nucleotide long non-coding RNA. The record is from RefSeq and is a predicted model, not a curated record. Lineage: Eukaryota; Metazoa; Arthropoda; Insecta; Hymenoptera; Formicidae.